AGUGAACGCUGGCGGUAGGCCUAACACAUGCAAGUCGAACGGCAGCACAGUAAGAGCUUGCUCUUACGGGUGGCGAGUGGCGGACGGGUGAGGAAUACAUCGGAAUCUACUUUUUCGUGGGGGAUAACGUAGGGAGACUUACGCUAAUACCGCAUACGACCUACGGGUGAAAGCAGGGGAUCUUCGGACCUUGCGCGAUUGAAUGAGCCGAUGUCGGAUUAGCUAGUUGGCGGGGUAAAGGCCCACCAAGGCGACGAUCCGUAGCUGGUCUGAGAGGAUGAUCAGCCACACUGGAACUGAGACACGGUCCAGACUCCUACGGGAGGCAGCAGUGGGGAAUAUUGGACAAUGUGCGCAAGCCUGAUCCAGCCAUACCGCGUGGGUGAAGAAGGCCUUCGGGUUGUAAAGCCCUUUUGUUGGGAAAGAAAAGCAGCAGGUUAAUACCCCGCUGUUCUGACGGUACCCAAAGAAUAAGCACCGGCUAACUUCGUG
Molecule: ribosomal RNA, 492 nt
Filed under: uncultured bacterium
Lineage: Bacteria
Description: partial 16S ribosomal RNA
Rfam family: Bacterial small subunit ribosomal RNA
Source: RNAcentral